This 438-nucleotide ribosomal RNA is filed under the name uncultured Glomus. RNAcentral describes it as "SSU rRNA". It matches the Rfam family "Eukaryotic small subunit ribosomal RNA", at positions 569 to 1012 of the family's 1831-position model. Lineage: Eukaryota; Fungi; Glomeromycota; Glomeromycetes; Glomerales; Glomeraceae. The record is from RNAcentral.
AGCAGCCGCGGUAAUUCCAGCUCCAAUAGCGUAUAUUAAAGUUGUUGCAGUUAAAAAGCUCGUAGUUGAAUUUCGGGAUUAGUACGUUGGUCGUGCCUUCGGUACGUACUGGUGUUACUGAUUCCUACCUUCUGACGAACCAUCAUGUCAUUAAUUUGGUGUGGUGGGGAAUCAGGACUGUUACUUUGAAAAAAUUAGAGUGUUUAAAGCAGGCUCGCGCUUGAAUACAUUAGCAUGGAAUAAUGAAAUAGGACGUUGACCCUAUUUUGUUGGUUUCUAGGAUUGACGUAAUGAUUAAUAGGGAUAGUUGGGGGCAUUAGUAUUCAAUUGUCAGAGGUGAAAUUCUUGGAUUUAUUGAAGACUAACUACUGCGAAAGCAUUUGCCAAGGAUGUUUUCAUUAAUCAAGAACGAAAGUUAGGGGAUCGAAGACGAUCAGA